AUAUACAAUAUAUGUAUGUAUUUGUGUAUGUGCAUGUACUUAUGCAUAUAGACAUGUGUGUGUCUCUACAU
Molecule: microRNA precursor, 71 nt
Filed under: Otolemur garnettii (small-eared galago)
Lineage: Eukaryota; Metazoa; Chordata; Mammalia; Primates; Galagidae
Description: miRNA (ENSOGAG00000021185.1)
Source: RNAcentral